AGAGUUUGAUCCUGGCUCAGAUUGAACGCUGGCGGCAUGCCUAACACAUGCAAGUCGAACGCGAAAGGGCUUUGGCCUGAGUAGAGUGGCGGACGGGUGAGUAACGCGUGGGAAUCUGCCCUGCAGUGGGGGACAACCCGGGGAAACUCGGGCUAAUACCGCAUACGUCCUAAGGGGGAAAGGGGGCCUUUUGGCUCUCGCUGCAGGAUGAGCCCGCGUCCGAUUAGCUAGUUGGUAGGGUAAUGGCCUACCAAGGCGACAAUCGGUAGCUGGUCUGAGAGGAUGAUCAGCCACACUGGGACUGAGACACGGCCCAGACUCCUACGGGAGGCAGCAGUGGGGAAUAUUGGACAAUGGGCGCAAGCCUGAUCCAGCAAUGCCGCGUGUGUGAAGAAGGCCUGCGGGUUGUAAAGCACUUUCAGUGGAGAAGAAGGGCGCGGGGUUAAUACCCCCGGGUCUGACGUAUCCACAGAAGAAG
Molecule: ribosomal RNA, 478 nt
Filed under: uncultured bacterium
Lineage: Bacteria
Description: bacterial SSU rRNA
Rfam family: Bacterial small subunit ribosomal RNA
Source: RNAcentral